Molecule: transfer RNA, 85 nt
Organism: Felis catus (domestic cat)
Lineage: Eukaryota; Metazoa; Chordata; Mammalia; Carnivora; Felidae
Rfam family: tRNA
About the family: Transfer RNA (tRNA) molecules are approximately 80 nucleotides in length. Their secondary structure includes four short double-helical elements and three loops (D, anti-codon, and T loops). Further hydrogen bonds mediate the characteristic L-shaped molecular structure. tRNAs have two regions of fundamental functional importance: the anti-codon, which is responsible for specific mRNA codon recognition, and the 3' end, to which the tRNAs corresponding amino acid is attached (by aminoacyl-tRNA synthetases). tRNAs cope with the degeneracy of the genetic code in two manners: having more than one tRNA (with a specific anti-codon) for a particular amino acid; and 'wobble' base-pairing, i.e. permitting non-standard base-pairing at the 3rd anti-codon position.
Source: Rfam
GCCUGGGUGGCUCAGUCAGUUAAGCAUCUGACUUCAGCUCAGGCCAUGAUUUCAUGGUUCGUGAGUUCGAGCCCCGCAUCAGGCU